AGAGUUUGAUCAUGGCUCAGGAUGAACGCUAGCGGCAGGCUUAAUACAUGCAAGUCGUGGGGCAGCACAGUGUAGCAAUACAUGGGUGGCGACCGGCAAACGGGUGCGGAACACGUACGCAACCUUCCUUUAACUGGAGAAUAGCCCGGGGAAACCCGGAUUAAUACUCCGUAACAUUAUGAAGUGGCAUCACUUUAUAAUUAUAGCUCCGGCGGUUGAAGAUGGGCGUGCGUCUGAUUAGGUAGUUGGCGGGGUAACGGCCCACCAAGCCUACGAUCAGUAACUGGUGUGAGAGCACGACCAGUCACACGGGCACUGAGACACGGGCCCGACUCCUACGGGAGGCAGCAGUAAGGAAUAUUGGUCAAUGGACGCAAGUCUGAACCAGCCAUGCCGCGUGGAGGAUGAAGGUCCUCUGGAUUGUAAACUUCUUUUAUUUGGGAAGAAACCCCCGAUUUCUAUUGGGGUUGACGGUACCAGAUGAAUAAGCACCGGCUAACUCCCGUGCCAGCAGCCGCGGUA
This 522-nucleotide ribosomal RNA is filed under the name uncultured Bacteroidota bacterium. Its description in RNAcentral is "bacterial SSU rRNA". It matches the Rfam family "Bacterial small subunit ribosomal RNA", at positions 8 to 522 of the family's 1533-position model. Lineage: Bacteria; Pseudomonadati; Bacteroidota. The record is from RNAcentral.